This 253-nucleotide ribosomal RNA is filed under the name uncultured bacterium. RNAcentral describes it as "partial 16S ribosomal RNA". It matches the Rfam family "Bacterial small subunit ribosomal RNA", at positions 524 to 776 of the family's 1533-position model. The record is from RNAcentral.
UACGGAGGGUGCGAGCGUUGUCCGGAAUCACUGGGCGUAAAGGGCGCGUAGGCGGCUGGGUAGGUCCGUUGUGAAAACUCGAGGCUCAACCUCGAGACGCCGAUGGAAACCCCCCAGCUAGAGUCCGGAAGAGGAGAGUGGAAUUCCUGGUGUAGCGGUGAAAUGCGCAGAUAUCAGGAAGAACACCCGUGGCUAAGGCGGCUCUCUAGUACGGUACUGACGCUGAGACGCGAAAGCGUGGGGAGCGAACAGG